GAUACCAGGGUCAAAAGCCAGGAAUGCCUUAUUCUGCAAGCAGAUAAGACAUUUCGGCUUGGGACCCGCCCGGACAUGAGGAAGAAGCGAUUUACAAAGUAAAUCUGCGGAUUCUGAAUGGCUGAAGGUUUGUGAGAGCUGCGAGGCAGCGGAGCAAGCCGG
RNAcentral lists this small RNA (162 nucleotides) under human gut metagenome. Its description in RNAcentral is "Clostridiales-1 RNA". It matches the Rfam family "Clostridiales-1 RNA". The record is from RNAcentral.